This is a long non-coding RNA of Lates calcarifer (barramundi perch), 612 nucleotides long. RefSeq lists it as uncharacterized. The record is from RefSeq and is a predicted model, not a curated record. The transcript is spliced from 6 exons. Lineage: Eukaryota; Metazoa; Chordata; Actinopteri; Centropomidae.
GGGCGUUAGUGUGUAUAAAAUCAACAGGACCCUCCUCUUCUUUCUCUCUUCCGCUGCAAGUUCUCCGUGAGAGGGGAAACUAGUCGACAUUUAAUUUCGGUUCAGCUACCGGAAGGACCAUCUGGUUUCUUCAGCCAUGGCUGUCUGCGUAAAAUGCAGGUGUCGGAUAUUGCUGAGAGGGGGAGGACAGAACAUGAAAACACAUGCAGGUGACCCUCAUGGCUGACCAGAAGUGACAGGGUGAGGACAACUCGUGUCAUGGCAUCACUCAACUUGUGAUCUAAAGCCUGGUAUCCUCAGGCUGUGUGGGCUCUUAAACCUUCCUGGUUUUGUAAAGGUACAGUGCCAUGUCUGUGAGCAGCACAAAGUGGAGCGUCGGUGCUGGUCUCAUCAGACUGCUGCAGACCAUCCACAAGGGCAACACUGAAUCAGAAUCGUUAACUCAGAUUGAGUUAACUGAGUGAUUUAACUGCAACUCUUGGAAGCUGUCAAAAUUGCUGGAAGUUCAAGUUUUGUUUCAAUACAAAAAUUGUCAAACAUUUUAAGUGACACAUCUCUGUAAAUCAUUUGAAAAUGUAUCAUUUGAAUGUAAUAAAACAACUCAAACUAUUA